RNAcentral lists this ribosomal RNA (1607 nucleotides) under Salmonella enterica subsp. enterica serovar Enteritidis. RNAcentral describes it as "partial 23S ribosomal RNA". It matches the Rfam family "Bacterial large subunit ribosomal RNA", at positions 1213 to 2803 of the family's 2925-position model. Lineage: Bacteria; Pseudomonadati; Pseudomonadota; Gammaproteobacteria; Enterobacterales; Enterobacteriaceae. The record is from RNAcentral.
GCUUAUGCGUUGUUGGGUAGGGGAGCGUUCUGUAAGCCUGCGAAGGUGGCCUGUGAGGGUUGCUGGAGGUAUCAGAAGUGCGAAUGCUGACAUAAGUAACGAUAAAGCGGGUGAAAAGCCCGCUCGCCGGAAGACCAAGGGUUCCUGUCCAACGUUAAUCGGGGCAGGGUGAGUCGACCCCUAAGGCGAGGCCGAAAGGCGUAGUCGAUGGGAAACGGGUUAAUAUUCCCGUACUUGGUGUUACUGCGAAGGGGGGACGGAGAAGGCUAUGUUGGCCGGGCGACGGUUGUCCCGGUUUAAGCGUGUAGGCUGGUUUUCCAGGCAAAUCCGGAAAAUCAAGGCUGAGGCGUGAUGACGAGGCACUACGGUGCUGAAGCAACAAAUGCCCUGCUUCCAGGAAAAGCCUCUAAGCAUCAGGUAACAUCAAAUCGUACCCCAAACCGACACAGGUGGUCAGGUAGAGAAUACCAAGGCGCUUGAGAGAACUCGGGUGAAGGAACUAGGCAAAAUGGUGCCGUAACUUCGGGAGAAGGCACGCUGACACGUAGGUGAAGUGAUUUACUCACGGAGCUGAAGUCAGUCGAAGAUACCAGCUGGCUGCAACUGUUUAUUAAAAACACAGCACUGUGCAAACACGAAAGUGGACGUAUACGGUGUGACGCCUGCCCGGUGCCGGAAGGUUAAUUGAUGGGGUCAGCGCAAGCGAAGCUCCUGAUCGAAGCCCCGGUAAACGGCGGCCGUAACUAUAACGGUCCUAAGGUAGCGAAAUUCCUUGUCGGGUAAGUUCCGACCUGCACGAAUGGCGUAAUGAUGGCCAGGCUGUCUCCACCCGAGACUCAGUGAAAUUGAACUCGCUGUGAAGAUGCAGUGUACCCGCGGCAAGACGGAAAGACCCCGUGAACCUUUACUAUAGCUUGACACUGAACAUUGAGCCUUGAUGUGUAGGAUAGGUGGGAGGCUUUGAAGCGUGGACGCCAGUCUGCGUGGAGCCGACCUUGAAAUACCACCCUUUAAUGUUUGAUGUUCUAACGUGGACCCGUUACCCGGGUUGCGGACAGUGUCUGGUGGGUAGUUUGACUGGGGCGGUCUCCUCCUAAAGAGUAACGGAGGAGCACGAAGGUUGGCUAAUCCUGGUCGGACAUCAGGAGGUUAGUGCAAUGGCAUAAGCCAGCUUGACUGCGAGCGUGACGGCGCGAGCAGGUGCGAAAGCAGGUCAUAGUGAUCCGGUGGUUCUGAAUGGAAGGGCCAUCGCUCAACGGAUAAAAGGUACUCCGGGGAUAACAGGCUGAUACCGCCCAAGAGUUCAUAUCGACGGCGGUGUUUGGCACCUCGAUGUCGGCUCAUCACAUCCUGGGGCUGAAGUAGGUCCCAAGGGUAUGGCUGUUCGCCAUUUAAAGUGGUACGCGAGCUGGGUUUAGAACGUCGUGAGACAGUUCGGUCCCUAUCUGCCGUGGGCGCUGGAGAACUGAGGGGGGCUGCUCCUAGUACGAGAGGACCGGAGUGGACGCAUCACUGGUGUUCGGGUUGUCAUGCCAAUGGCACUGCCCGGUAGCUAAAUGCGGAAGAGAUAAGUGCUGAAAGCAUCUAAGCACGAAACUUGCCCCGAG